Molecule: long non-coding RNA, 1407 nt
Organism: Cygnus olor (mute swan)
Lineage: Eukaryota; Metazoa; Chordata; Aves; Anseriformes; Anatidae
Exons: 2
Source: RefSeq, a predicted model, not a curated record
GAGCAGGAGGGGAAAAUUAGGUAGCUCUUCUGCCGUAGCAUAAUGCAGAGCAUAACAUAAUCUGCCACUAGUCAGGAAUGUAUGCCGACAGAGGCUACAAGUAGACUGAAGCUAUCAUCACACUCAAUAACCUGUAACUAGGGACGUUUUUAAAGACGAACAGCUCAGUUUGCAAAUUCUUAUCCUGCAAUCUGUGAGAACACAAUACUGAAAAUUAGACAUAUGAUCGCUAGCAGCCAUCUUACCAUGUGCCUGAUCCACAAAUAACAGGAGAAUGAAGACAACUGUGAAAUAAAAAUAAAAGUACAGCAGAACAGCAGAACAGCAACAUCGCAUUGUAGAAUGUCAGCUGAGUUUGUCAAAUAAUCUUACUCUUUUUGUUCUUUAUUACCUUCAAUUCAUCUAGGUUCGUAAAUUUAUUUUCUAUAUUAUUACUUUCUAUAUUAUUACUGUGCUUUCCGAGUCUUUUGCAAUCAAUCAGUCACACGAAGAGUUAUUACUGGAUUUCUUAUGACAGGCCGUAAGAUACAUAGUCCAUUCUAGAGAGAGUAGAAAUAUAAACCAAGUAUAGGAAAAAUAUUGUGAUCCGUUAAAAAAUGCUUCCAAAGAAAACAUUUUUCAUAAGCACUUAGCCUGGAGAUGACAGUAACUCCUGUUUGGAACAAAACUAAUAAAGAUACAUUAUGAGAAGUUAAGCUUCAGCUCCAUAGCUGAAGUCCUUUGUGCUAAAUGAAGUCAAAGCAAGCUUACUGUGACUGAGAGAGCUGCCUAUGCAAAGAACAGGUCUAGUGAAAACAGUUUUCCCCAAAUGAAGAAGUUAACAAGCAACAGAGGAACUAAAAUGCAUUCACUUCAAAAUAAAUACUAACUCAUAAACCAGGAAUCCAAGUGUGAGUAGUGCUAGAUAUGGAACUUAUUCUCAUUACCCAAGUAAAUGUAACAUAAUAAAAAAGUGUCCCAUGGAAAAGCUGAGAUGUUAUUCAUGAAAAUGAAGCUUACAAUUUUUCAAAAACUGCAAAAGGACAGCAUGCAUUUUAUUGCUUUUCAUGCUUGUUUAGGACAGUCCAAGGAAGAAGUAUGAAUUGUUUCAAAUUUAAACCUUGUGCCAUGCUUAAUUAUGUUUUAUCUGCUGAUGUGACUACGGCAUUGAAAGCAUCAUAAUGCAAAUGUAGUGAUACUUGGAAAACUGAAAUUUGUCCAGAUCUCUGGCCAUUAAUACAUUUCCUGUCACAUGUAUUGCUCCUGGUCUCACUAAUUUCAGUCUUGGUGAACUUCCUCUUUCAUGACUGGUGAAGUGCCUGUGGCUGGAUAACAGAGAUUUGUCUUCAGGGCAAACAUCUCUUCAGCUACACACCUGGCCUAGAAGAAACCUCCCAUUUCAAACUCAACUUGUUAUGACAGUGCCUG